RNAcentral lists this ribosomal RNA (303 nucleotides) under uncultured bacterium. RNAcentral's name for it is "partial 16S ribosomal RNA". It matches the Rfam family "Bacterial small subunit ribosomal RNA", at positions 507 to 808 of the family's 1533-position model. The record is from RNAcentral.
AGCAGUCGCCGCGGUAAUACGUAGGUGGCAAGCGUUGUCCGGAAUUAUUGGGCGUAAAGGGCUCGCAGGCGGUUUCUUAAGUCUGAUGUGAAAGCCCCCGGCUCAACCGGGGAGGGUCAUUGGAAACUGGGAAACUUGAGUGCAGAAGAGGAGAGUGGAAUUCCACGUGUAGCGGUGAAAUGCGUAGAUAUAUGGAGGAACACCGGUGGCGAAGGCGGCUCUCUGGUCUGUCGCUGACGCUGAGGCUCGAAAGCGUGGGUAGCGAACAGGAUUAGAUACCCCCGAGUCCCUGUCUCUUAUACA